UUCUGCUGCAGCAGGAUGCCAUGCCCAAGUACGCCUAACAUGUCAAUCAGCCACCCUAGAAUGUACCUCCUCCCAUGAAUACAAGCUUCCAGCCGAACCUUUUUGUCAUUCAAAACAGCCAACAUUUGUUGCAUUGUCUUCAUUCUUCAUUUGAGGACUUCACAAAUGGAAGGGAGCCUUUAAUUCAUUCUGCCAAGUAUUCUCAAGGUAAGCUUGACUUCAAUGCUCUACCUUCUUCCAUGUUUCCACCUGCAUUAAUGCAAAGACCCAUUUCAUUAUUUCAGAAACACCUGCUGCUUUGUCAAUAUUCAACAACAACCAACCAACAAAACCUUCAAGGUAUUCACCAUCGCAGCUAUUUCAAGUUCCAGUUAUAUGCUUCACAUUCUAUCAGCAUGAGUUAGCUUUAGAAAUGCUAGAUAUGCAUUGAACAGCACGAUCAUUUCAAAGAGAUAAAUGCAUAAUCAGUUCACUUCGAUAUAGAACCAACAACAUGUAACCCUACACCGAUUUACGCUUGAGAACCACAGCCAUUUACUUAGCACACACAACACAUUUGAUUCGUACAAAUAGAAGGAAUAAAAGUAGGACUUAGCUUCUGAAAAGGGAGGAAGCAGCUGACUGCUCUGCUCAACGUGGCUCCGAGUCAGCGGCGGCGAGCGAACGAGGCCAGUCGCCGGACAAACGGGCAGAAUCCGGCUUCGAUAACAGCCUACGGCCGCGGUGGGCGGCGUCGGAACCAAAGAGAACCGCGACUCGAACCAAGAGAGAGAGAGAGGUCGGGGGCUGGGGUGACGAACGACGACUGUAAGUCGCCGG
This 819-nucleotide long non-coding RNA is filed under the name Salvia miltiorrhiza (redroot sage). Its description in RNAcentral is "long non-coding RNA (SMIL_LNC001087)". Lineage: Eukaryota; Viridiplantae; Streptophyta; Magnoliopsida; Lamiales; Lamiaceae. The record is from RNAcentral.